This 453-nucleotide ribosomal RNA is filed under the name uncultured Prevotella sp. Its description in RNAcentral is "partial 16S ribosomal RNA". It matches the Rfam family "Bacterial small subunit ribosomal RNA", at positions 341 to 792 of the family's 1533-position model. Lineage: Bacteria; Pseudomonadati; Bacteroidota; Bacteroidia; Bacteroidales; Prevotellaceae. The record is from RNAcentral.
ACGGGAGGCAGCAGUGAGGAAUAUUGGUCAAUGGGCGAGAGCCUGAACCAGCCAAGUAGCGUGCACGAAGACUGCCCUCUGGGUUGUAAAGUGCUUUAGUAUGGGAAUAAAGUGAGGGACGUGUCCCUUUUUGUAUGUACCAUAAGAAUAAGGACCGGCUAAUUCCGUGCCAGCAGCCGCGGUAAUACGGAAGGUCCAGGCGUUAUCCGGAUUUAUUGGGUUUAAAGGGAGCGUAGGCGGGUUAUCAAGUCAGUGGUAAAAUCGUGUGGCCCAACCAUACCUCGCCAUUGAAACUGUUAGUCUUGAGUGCACGCAGGGAUGCUGGAAUUCGUUGUGUAGCGGUGAAAUGCUUAGAUAUGACGAAGAACUCCGAUUGGGAAGCCAGCUUGCUGUAGCGCCACUGACGCUGAUGCUCGAAAGCGUGGGUAUCGAACAGGAUUAGAUACCCUGGUA